AGCUUGCUUCAACCGCCGGCGACCGGCGCACGGGUGAGUAACACGUAUCCAACCUGCCGAUAACUCUGGGAUAGCCUUUCGAAAGAAAGAUUAAUACCGGAUAGCAUAGUUUUCCCGCAUGGAAGAACUAUUAAAGAAUUUCGGUUAUCGAUGGGGAUGCGUUCCAUUAGGCAGUUGGCGGGGUAACGGCCCACCAAACCGACGAUGGAUAGGGGUUCUGAGAGGAAGGUCCCCCACAUUGGAACUGAGACACGGUCCAAACUCCUACGGGAGGCAGCAGUGAGGAAUAUUGGUCAAUGGACGAGAGUCUGAACCAGCCAAGUAGCGUGAAGGAUGACUGCCCUAUGGGUUGUAAACUUCUUUUAUACGGGAAUAAAGUUAGCCACGUGUGGUUUUUUGCAUGUACCGUAUGAAUAAGGAUCGGCUAACUCCGUGCCAGCAGCCGCGGUAAUACGGAGGAUCCGAGCGUUAUCCGGAUUUAUUGGGUUUAAAGGGAGCGUAGGCGGGGUAUUAAGUCAGUUGUGAAAGUUUGCGGCUCAACCGUAAAAUUGCAGUUGAUACUGGUAUCCUUGAGUGCAGCAGAGGUGGGCGGAAUUCGUGGUGUAGCGGUGAAAUGCUUAGAUAUCACGAAGAACUCCGAUUGCGAAGGCAGCUCACUGGAGUGUAACUGA
This 671-nucleotide ribosomal RNA is filed under the name uncultured Bacteroidales bacterium. Its description in RNAcentral is "bacterial SSU rRNA". It matches the Rfam family "Bacterial small subunit ribosomal RNA", at positions 77 to 743 of the family's 1533-position model. Lineage: Bacteria; Pseudomonadati; Bacteroidota; Bacteroidia; Bacteroidales. The record is from RNAcentral.